This 253-nucleotide ribosomal RNA is filed under the name uncultured bacterium. RNAcentral describes it as "partial 16S ribosomal RNA". It matches the Rfam family "Bacterial small subunit ribosomal RNA", at positions 524 to 776 of the family's 1533-position model. The record is from RNAcentral.
UACGGAGGGUGCAAGCGUUGUCCGGAAUUACUGGGCGUAAAGCGUGCGUAGGCGGUUGGCAAAGUCAGCUGUGAAAGCCCCGGGCUUAACCUGGGAAUGGCGGUUGAAACUAGUCGACUAGAAUCUGGCAGAGGGGGGUGGAAUUCCACGUGUAGCAGUGAAAUGCGUAGAGAUGUGGAGGAACACCGAUGGCGAAGGCAGCCCCCUGGGCUGAGAUUGACGCUCAGGCACGAAAGCGUGGGGAGCAAACAGG